GCCCUCACUUUGGCAGCACAUAUAUUAAAUAUUGGAGCAAUACAGAGAAGAUUAGCAUGGCACAAGAAUGACAUGCAAAUUUGUGAAGUGUUCCAUAUUUUU
This is a small nuclear RNA of Otolemur garnettii (small-eared galago), 102 nucleotides long. Lineage: Eukaryota; Metazoa; Chordata; Mammalia; Primates; Galagidae. The record is from Ensembl.